GUAAGCCGCCCGGUCGUCAGAUUCUGGAACUCCGGCGAUGCUCUUUUCAGUCGCACAGAUGCUUGCGGAUGCUGUUGCUGCUGUUGCAUCGCCUGCACUGCUUCGGUGAGGCCCCUGACCUGCUGAACCAGCAGGUCGAACUGCUCCAUGCCGACCGCCGUUGUCGGAGGAGGAAGAGCCUGAAAAACUGGAGACGAGGCCGGAGCUUGCGGAUCUCGUUGAGAUCUGGCCACGGAGGCCGUAGAUCGUCUGGUGGAUGCUUUUCGGAGAGGCAUCAGGUGGGGAUCUGGUAGGAGAAGAGGAAGAAGAUGUCGAAGAAGAUGACCGGAGACAGUCCCGUUGAGCAUUCCUUUA
This 354-nucleotide long non-coding RNA is filed under the name Elaeis guineensis (African oil palm). RNAcentral's name for it is "long non-coding RNA (EGUI_LNC076330)". The record is from RNAcentral. Lineage: Eukaryota; Viridiplantae; Streptophyta; Magnoliopsida; Arecales; Arecaceae.